RNAcentral lists this long non-coding RNA (971 nucleotides) under Bactrocera latifrons. RNAcentral describes it as "uncharacterized LOC108973876, transcript variant X3". Lineage: Eukaryota; Metazoa; Arthropoda; Insecta; Diptera; Tephritidae. The record is from RNAcentral.
UUUUGGACAAUAAGAACAAGCAUGAUUAUAAAUAUAACAAUUUAUUUAAAAAAAAACUUUGGUGCGCCUAACCUAAGGCCAGCAGUGUACAUCAAGCUUAUUGGUGGGCGGGGCCACGCCCACUUUAAAAGGAUUUUCAAACAGAAACUUGUCCUCCCUAUUGUGAUUCGUUGUGCCGAAUAUGAGUGAUUUAUCUUAAUAUACGGCUUUGUUAUGCCACUUUAUACGAUUUAAAUGAAUGGCGUAUUGUAGGCGAGACGGUGGUCCGAAUAUGUCAGUGUGCAAUACCUUCUUAUGGUGCUGAGAAACCAGUUUCAUGUAGACAUUUUAAUUUAUACUCAAGUUACAGCUUCCACGGACGGACAUUUAUAUAUAUGUGGCAGCAUCCCCACUCAAUUCAGAGAUAUAGCGCAAUUCUGUAAGCAGUCUCUAUUCACAACACAGUCUAUUUUUGGCGUCAACAUACUGCAGAUUAACAAUCCGAGCAAAAAUGAUUGAAAUAAGUUUACAAAAUCGACUAGGCAUUGCUGACCGUGAUAUCACUAAUUUGCAGCUGCUUGAUGGUUAUACGUUUAAUCAAACCGCUGUCUUUGAAACAGCGUGAUGAAAGAGAAACUUUGCUAUAUCACCCAUGACAUCGAAAUGUAAUAUUACUCGAUUGUUGUGUGAUAAAGGUUUUGAGGCGUUAUUCCAACCGCAUUUAAUAAACUUUGAAGGACAAGGCAUAUCUGGAUCAGUGUUUCGAUAUCGAUAUAUGUACAUAUGACUGAAAUUGUACAAGCAUAUCGUGCGCGUGGGGAUAAAUUUGUGAGACUUAAAAUUCAUCUUGAAGUUCCGCUACAACGAAAAUAUGUGGUCUUUAUCGGCAGCGUUAUUUUGGGUAAUAUGGCAAAGGAUAUUGAUGGUUUUUGGAUGUGCGUAGGAAACAAGAAAAUUAAGAAAAUUAUAAUAAAACUUACAAAGAGCUCACA